ACUCCUACGGGAGGCAGCAGUGGGGAAUAUUGCACAAUGGGGGAAACCCUGAUGCAGCCAUGCCGCGUGUGUGAAGAAGGCCUUCGGUUGUAAAGCACUUUCAGUAGGGAGGAAGGUAGUGUAGUUAACACCUGCACUAUUGUACGUUACCUACAGAAGAAGCACCGGCUAACUCCGUGCCAGCAGCCGCGGUAAUACGGAGGGGUGCGAGCGUUAAUCGGAAUUACUGGGCGUAAAGCGCAUGCAGGCGGCCUGUUAAGUCAGAUGUGAAAGCCCGGGGGCUUAACCUCGGAAUUGCAUUUGAAACUGGCAGGCUAGAGUCUUGUAGAGGGGGUAGGAAUUUCAGGUGUAGCAGUGAAAUGCGUAGAUAU
This 371-nucleotide ribosomal RNA is filed under the name uncultured bacterium. RNAcentral describes it as "bacterial SSU rRNA". It matches the Rfam family "Bacterial small subunit ribosomal RNA", at positions 335 to 697 of the family's 1533-position model. The record is from RNAcentral.